AGUGCCAGACUGGCUUGUCAGAGGACACGAGGUCUCGGUGGACGGAAAGGUCUGCCGGACGUGGCGACUGACACACGCCUUAGCCCAAGCUGUCACCUGGACAGCAAAGCCAUUUCCAGAUGGUAACACGGAGGUGCCAGCGAGGGCAGGGAGGCCGCGGGGGCAGGAGGAUGCUCCUGGGCGCUGCUACGGUGCAAGCCGAGCGCAGCUGGAGCAGAGCCGCUCGGAGCAGGUGUGCUCUGCCUGGAACAGAUGCGUUAUGGAGGCUUUCAAAAACAUAACUGACACGAGGAGGAAGAGGAGGGGGGCCAGCGGGGGCACCGCUGGAGCAACAGCUGCCGGGGAGGGAACCGCCGCACGCCGAGGCCGGGGAUGAAGGAAGCCACUUCACAUGUGAUAUGGUCUUGCUCAAAAGUUUCACUUCAUAACAAACAGUCCACAGUCCCUGCACUGAGGCUCAGCACACUGCACAAAGCCAGACUUACCGGAAGAUGAUAAUCAAGAAAUUAUUUUAUUAGUUUUAAAUAUAGCCCUCUCAAUUUUUGACUGUACUAACUGCAUGGUAAAUACAGUUUACCUCUGCAGAGAACCACGCUGAGAAAAUUGCGUGUGAGACUACACUACUGUGAAAUGCUCAAUAUGGGGGCUACACUCAGAAGACGGAACUCAUGUAGGAGGCAGCAGCCUGUUUGCUAAAUUCUGUUUCACAUCAUCUUAUGCUGAUGCUUUCAUUCUGCACUAGCUUUUUAUUAGCCUCCUGAUGAUGACUGAAGUGUUAGUUUGCAUUGAAUUGUUUACAGCCCGGCCACCAUGUAAAGACUUGUCCUUUAACAUGACAGUACACCCAUAGGGAUUUGACACGGAUACAUUAAGGUUGAUAUGAUAAGGUACGAAUGGCAAUGUGCAAGUGUGAAAUCACCAAGAAACAACAAGAAUGGGCAAAGGAAUGGUAUGUGCACCUUCUGAAGGCACCCAGGCCUGGAAAACCAAGGGCUGCCUCGUGGGUGGAUCUCAAACUUCUGCUGGAGGCAGUUUUUCUCCUGCUCUGACUCCCAGAUGAACCUCAGAUCUGUACUGGAAGUAGCUUGUCUCCAGCCAUGCUUCCUCGGUGGACCUUGAACCUAUGCUGUAGCUUCACCUUCAGUCUCAUCUCCUGGGUGGACUUUGAACCCAUAUUGCAGCCUUUUUUCAAGCCAUGUCUCUGGUCUGAUCUCCUGCUGCUCCUAGAUGGCCCCUGGACAUGAUUCAUUAACUUUGCCUUAUUUGGGACUGUUUAUGGACCCUGUUAGCUGUACCCAGGUCUGCGUGCCAUGUUUAGGGACAGCACCCAGUCAGUGAAAGCAUUGCCUGUGCUGGGUCACUCUCAGCUCCUGCCCUGCACCACAGAGAGUCCUGUUGAGGCUACAUGGCUGCACACAUCUCCAUCCUCAUACACAUGAAAGAAGGAGUGAUAGUCUGUGAGAGAAAAUAUGCAUGAAACCAGUUUAAAAUAAAAUAAACUUCCCUUUCUAUGUGGUUUUACAUUGGAGCUGAACAUAAGAAAAGGAAACACUCAAGAUACCUCUGAUCUGGUCUGAUCUGAUCUGAUAGAGAGGUGCAGGUUUCUUCAUGUCCUUGAUUCUGGAGGUUGUUUCCUGAUAACAUGCAAAAGAGAUUGGGUUUCUUAAUCUCGGAGGGUGGGGGUGCUUCAUAAUCUGGGCAUAAGUAUCUUCAGCGCAAAAAGAGGAUGAGAUGAAGAGGUGUAGUAGGUAGAGGAGCGGAGUUUCAAGAAACAGUUUAUUUUAGGUUGCUUUCAUUCAGCAGCUUGUUAUAUUGUUUUUAUUUUUCACAGAAUCACAGAAUGUCAGGGAUUGGAAGGGACUUCAAAAGAUCAUCUAGUCCAAUCCCCUUGCCAGAGCAGGAACACCUAGAUGAGGCUACAUAGGAAGGUGUCCAGGCAGGUUUUGAAUGUCUCCAGAGUAGGAGACUCCACAACCCCCCUGGGCAGCCUGUUCCAGUGUCUGUCACCCUCGCUGAGAAGAAGUUUCUUUUCAAAUUUAAGCGGAACCUCUUGUGUUCCAGUUUGAAGCCAUUACCCCUUGUCCUAUGGUUGGUUGUCACUGAGAAGAGCCUGGCUCCAUCCUCGUGACACUCACCCUUUAUAUAUUUCCCAAGACUUGGCAAAGAUGAUGGAGAGUGGUCCAGCAAUGACUUCAGCCAGCUCCCUCAGCACCCGCGGAUGCAUCCCAUCUGGACCCAUGGAUUUAUGGAUGUCCAGAUUGCCUAAUAGCUCCCUAACCCAGUCCUCAUCCACUAAGGCAGACUCCUCCUUUGUCCUGACUUCCUCUGGUGCCUCAGGGGUACGGGGCUCCUCAGGACAGCCUCCAGCAGAGGGUAGUACAGUAGAGAUCUGUAAAAACAGCUGGGAGCCUGACUUCCAGAAAUGCCAUAACCCUAAAAAAUGAAGUAGAUCUUCAAAUCAGGCUCUCAUUGUUGUUUGGUAAAUUAAUUCAAAUAUUUCUCUAAGUGACUGAAAAGAAGAUGCUUUGGCUCCAGAGUGAUAUGGGAAAAUGUACAAUCCAUUUGAUCUGCUUCAGAUGCCAAAACCAUCUGCAACUGCAUGUGGCAAACUCACAUUUUUCAGCUUUCUCAGGCACAUAUGAUUACGAAGAGCUUUAAAUACUUUCAGUAAAAUAGAUAAACCUUUAGUAUGCUCUUUUUGUUGUUUACUUAUCUCUCAGCAGCAUUCUGUGUGAAGAUCUUCUCCUCGAAGGCUCGGGGUGGGGUUGGCUGUGUGUCUGUGAGUCUUUCAGCGCAGAAGACUGCGUUCAGAAGUGCCUGUGGAGCAGCCAGCACGAACAGCAGCGGCUGGCACCGGGAGCGGGUCACAGAUGCUUGUCUGAACGUGCUAUUGUGCACUAUCUCCCCACAGUUUGGGCUCCAGAUGUUGCUGUACUAAAGCCACGAUCGCCACCUGCUGUCGCAAAGCCAGCCUGAGCCGGGGAGCCACAUUUUAGUGAGACCCCCGUGGAGGCCUCACCCCCCGGCCACCAGCCGCUCCCGCGAGCCAGGGCCCGCGUUCCUCACCCUCAACUGGGCACUUCUAGUGGUGCUCUCAGUUCU
Long non-coding RNA from Columba livia (rock pigeon), 3102 nucleotides. RefSeq lists it as uncharacterized. The record is from RefSeq and is a predicted model, not a curated record. The transcript has 3 exons. Lineage: Eukaryota; Metazoa; Chordata; Aves; Columbiformes; Columbidae.